RNAcentral lists this ribosomal RNA (270 nucleotides) under uncultured archaeon. RNAcentral's name for it is "partial 16S ribosomal RNA". It matches the Rfam family "Archaeal small subunit ribosomal RNA", at positions 477 to 747 of the family's 1478-position model. The record is from RNAcentral.
CUGCAGCCCGAGUGGUGAUCGAUUUUAUUUAGCCUAAAGCGUCCGUAGCCGGACUAGUAAACCCUUGGGUAUAUUGGGCAGCUUAACUGUCCAAAUUCCGAGGGGACUGCUAGUCUUGGGACCGGGAGAGGUCAGAGGUACUCAAGGGGUAGGGGCUAAAUCCUGUAAUCCUUUGGGGACCACCAGUGGCGAAGGCGUCUGACUAGAACGGAUCCGACGGUAAGGGACGAAACCCUGGGGCGCGAACCGGAUUAGAUACCCGAGUAGUCC